Molecule: ribosomal RNA, 259 nt
Filed under: uncultured bacterium
Lineage: Bacteria
Description: partial 16S ribosomal RNA
Rfam family: Bacterial small subunit ribosomal RNA
Source: RNAcentral
ACCGACCUACGGGAGGCAGCAGUGGGGAAUAUUGCACAAUGGGGGAAACCCUGAUGCAGCGACGCCGCGUGAGUGAAGAAGUAUUUCGGUAUGUAAAGCUCUAUCAGCAGGGAAGAAGUUGACGGUACCUGAGUAAGAAGCCCCGGCUAACUACGUGCCAGCAGCCGCGGUAAUACGUAGGGGGCAAGCGUUAUCCGGAUUUACUGGGUGUAAAGGGAGCGUAGAAGGCAGUGCAAGUCUGAAGUGAAAGCCAAGGGGU